RNAcentral lists this ribosomal RNA (420 nucleotides) under uncultured bacterium. Its description in RNAcentral is "bacterial SSU rRNA". It matches the Rfam family "Bacterial small subunit ribosomal RNA", at positions 356 to 773 of the family's 1533-position model. The record is from RNAcentral.
AAGGAAUAUUGGUCAAUGGGCGAAAGCCUGAACCAGCCAUCCCGCGUGCAGGAUGAAGGUCCUAUGGAUUGUAAACUGCUUUUAUCAGGGAAGAAACGCCUUCAUUUAUGGGGGUCUGACGGUACCUGAGGAAUAAGCACCGGCUAACUCCGUGCCAGCAGCCGCGGUAAUACGGAGGGUGCGAGCGUUAUCCGGAAUCACUGGGUUUAAAGGGUGCGUAGGCGGGGAAUUAAGUCAGUGGUGAAAGCCUGUCGCUUAACGAUAGAAUUGCCAUUGAUACUGAUUUUCUUGAAUUGGGUUGAGGUUAGCGGAAUGUGACAUGUAGCGGUGAAAUGCAUAGAUAUGUCAUGGAACACCAAUUGCGAAGGCAGCUAGCUGGGCCUUGAUUGACGCUGAGGCACGAAAGCGUGGGUAGCGAAC